RNAcentral lists this ribosomal RNA (369 nucleotides) under Triticum aestivum (bread wheat). Its description in RNAcentral is "partial small subunit ribosomal RNA". The record is from RNAcentral. Lineage: Eukaryota; Viridiplantae; Streptophyta; Magnoliopsida; Poales; Poaceae.
AUGGCCGCGCCGUGCACUUCCAUCACGGACGACCGCCUGGCCGUCCUCCUGGAGGAGAUCUUCCUCCUGCUGCCCACCCCAGCCGACCUCGUCCGCGCCUCCGCCGCCUGCGUCCCCUUCCGCCAGAUCGCCACCUGCAGCCUCUUCCUCCGGCGAUUCCGCAAAACACACACUCCGCCCUUCAUCGGCUCCAUGGACUGGGACGGCCUCCGCCCCGCGCUCCCUCCUCACACCAGCGCGCCCAUCGCCGGGGCCAUCGCCCACGCAGCCGACUUCACCUUCUCCUUCAUCCCACGCCACACCCGCUACUCCCUGCUGCGAGAUCCCGGCUGCUGGACGGUCAAGAGCGCCCGCGACGGCAUCUUAUAA